CUCCAUAAGUAACUGAUGACCGGCUAUCUCGCCCAUGGCGGCUAACAUUAUUAUUGAAGGAAAUUAGACAUGUCCAACAUGAUCAAAGGUCAAGUGAAGUGGUUCAACGAAGCUAAAGGUUUUGGUUUCAUCACUCCAGCAGACGGCAGCAAAGAUGUAUUCGUGCACUUCUCUGCUAUCCAGGAUCAAGGCUUCAAGACUCUGGUUGAAGGCCAGAACGUACA
This 224-nucleotide non-coding RNA is filed under the name Euroglyphus maynei. RNAcentral describes it as "cspA thermoregulator". It matches the Rfam family "cspA thermoregulator", at positions 95 to 315 of the family's 428-position model. Lineage: Eukaryota; Metazoa; Arthropoda; Arachnida; Sarcoptiformes; Pyroglyphidae. The record is from Rfam by way of RNAcentral.